RNAcentral lists this long non-coding RNA (1103 nucleotides) under Apteryx owenii (little spotted kiwi). Its description in RNAcentral is "lncRNA (ENSAOWG00000008689.1)". The record is from RNAcentral. Lineage: Eukaryota; Metazoa; Chordata; Aves; Apterygiformes; Apterygidae.
GUAACAUCACCUACAACACUUUGCCUUUACAUAACAGUUUGAAGUUUCCUUUGCAGUUAUUACAGGCUGGUUUUGUGGCAGGUCAGUCCCCUUCUCGCCUACCCUCCCAUGCUGUACUAAAUGCUGCGCACAAAUGUAACAAAAUUAUUUUGUCCCCACUGCAAGAUUCUUAGAGCAGUUACAGCAGGGUAAUUAAGGAGACUGAGAUAAUUCAGAAUAAUAUGAGAAAUAAUUCCAGUUAGAGCCUGGGAAAACCAGAAAUGGAUCCUGAAAAAAAAAAUGCAAUGUUGAAUGAUUAUAAUUAUGUUUCCCUUUAUAUAGAUCUGGAUUUGCCCCACUGAAAUUAAUGAGUCCAUUUUCAAUCCAGGAGCUUAGGUGUACUCCCUGAUUACCCCACAUUGCCACUGAUGACCUGUUUAUGAACCUCAGUAUUCCUCCCUUCAUUACAAAUAGGCAUUACCAGUUAUAGUCCUACACAAAAUCCUACUAGUUCAGACAACAGCGGACUGUUUUUCGUAAGAUCUCCUCUGCGGGUACAGAAGUCCUAUUCUGCAUUCCACUCCUCCUCCUCAGACAUCAACUCAGCAACGUCUCUUUCGCCUUCAUUCACAAAGGGGCAAAUCUUGCACAUUUCAUAAACAGCAGAGAGCCUAUGCCGACAGUGAGGAAUAGGUUCCAGAAAUUGUGUGUGUGAUGCAAAUUAUGCUGAUCUCCACCUCCCUUGAUUCUGAAGAAAAUCCACCUUGAUCUUCACUGCAUAAUUUUGAUGGUCUGCGAUCGGAAUGAUAAUGAACUUUUGUGAUAACAAACUUCUGCAUUUUGCUUGCUUAGAUUUUUCUGUUUGUUUCUGUGGGAUCUUUUCAGGUACAUGAUAAAUUGCAUUUAGGAGUUGUACCAUUUGACACACUGAAGAGAGGCAGACUGUUAAAACACAAGAGUCUUUGAAGGGUUAAAGAUACUUAUCUUAAUCAUGUUAGGCUAACUGGGGUGUGUAUCCUAAAUUGUGAUAUUUAUAUGGAAUGAUGUCAGUGAUUUACACUACAUACUUUGCUGAAGGGAAUAUUGGUUUACAUUUGGGUUUGAGGUCCAUGUGUGAAAAGUAG